UACAGAGGGUGCAAGCGUUGUUCGGAAUUAUUGGGCGUAAAGAGCUCGUAGGCGGUGUGUCACGUCGGCCGUGAAAACCUGCAGCUUAACUGUGGGCGUGCGGUCGAUACGGGCAUCACUGGAGUUCGGCAGGGGAGACUGGAAUCCCUGGUGUAGCGGUGAAAUGCGCAGAUAUCAGGAGGAACACCGGUGGCGGAAGGCGGGUCUCUGGGCCGAUGACUGACGCUGGAGGAAGCGAAAGCGUGGGGAGCAAACAGG
This 258-nucleotide ribosomal RNA is filed under the name uncultured bacterium. RNAcentral's name for it is "partial 16S ribosomal RNA". It matches the Rfam family "Bacterial small subunit ribosomal RNA", at positions 524 to 776 of the family's 1533-position model. The record is from RNAcentral.